Molecule: ribosomal RNA, 484 nt
Filed under: uncultured bacterium
Lineage: Bacteria
Description: bacterial SSU rRNA
Rfam family: Bacterial small subunit ribosomal RNA
Source: RNAcentral
AUUGAACGCUGGCGGCAUGCUUUACACAUGCAAGUCGAACGGUAACAGGGUGCUUGCACCGCUGACGAGUGGCGAACGGGUGAGUAAUGCGUCGGAACGUGCCGAGUAGUGGGGGAUAACGCAGCGAAAGUUGUGCUAAUACCGCAUACGUACUGAGGUAGAAAGUGGGGGACCUUCGGGCCUCACGCUAUUCGAGCGGCCGACGUCUGAUUAGCUAGUAGGUGAGGUAAAGGCUCACCUAGGCGACGAUCAGUAGCGGGUCUGAGAGGAUGAUCCGCCACACUGGGACUGAGACACGGCCCAGACUCCUACGGGAGGCAGCAGUGGGGAAUUUUGGACAAUGGGCGAAAGCCUGAUCCAGCCAUGCCGCGUGUCUGAAGAAGGCCUUCGGGUUGUAAAGGACUUUUGUCAGGGAGGAAAUCCCUAGUGCUAAUAACACUGGGGGAUGACAGUACCUGAAGAAUAAGCACCGGCUAACUACGUG